Molecule: ribosomal RNA, 773 nt
Filed under: uncultured Neocallimastigales
Lineage: Eukaryota; Fungi; Neocallimastigomycota; Neocallimastigomycetes; Neocallimastigales
Description: partial large subunit ribosomal RNA
Rfam family: Eukaryotic large subunit ribosomal RNA
Source: RNAcentral
ACACGCAUGACACACUGCAUAUCAAUAAGCGGAGGAAAAGAAACUAACAAGGAUUCCCUUAGUAACGGCGAGUGAAGCGGGAAGAGCUCAAAUUUGAAAUCUUCAAGGUUUACCUUGACGAAUUGUAGUUUAUAGGAAGUGUUUUCUGUUAGGAGUUGGUAAAAGUUCUUUGGAAUAGGACAUCAUAGAGGGUGAGAAUCCCGUAUUUGGUCAUUCUUUCUAGCUUUGUGAUACACUUUCAACGAGUCGGAUUGUUUGGGAAUGCAGUCCAAAAUGGGUGGUAAAUUUCAUCUAAAGCUAAAUAUUGGCGAGAGACCGAUAGCGAACAAGUACCGUGAGGGAAAGAUGAAAAGAACUUUGAAAAGAGAGUUAAACAGUACGUGAAAUUGUCAAAAGGGAAGCGUUUGACACCAGUGUUGUUUUUCCGAAAAUCAAUUACGAAUGUUUUAUUUUUGAGGAGUUAUGACUUCAUCGGCUUGCUCCUUUCUUUAUGAAACUUUCUUAAUGCACUUUUCGGUUAACAAGUCAACAUCAAUUUCUUUUGUUGUAAAAGGGUAAGAGGAAGGUGGCUUACGCUUCGGCGUAAGUGUUUAUAGCCUUUUACCUCUGCAAUCGGAGAGAUUGAGGACAGCAGCGUAGACUCUUCGGGGUUAGAUACACUUGUGCUAAGCUAUAGCCUUGUAUAGACAACUUGUUGACUAUGCUCAGUCAUGUAGCUUACUCGCUUGUGCUAUUUUACCUACGCUUAGGAUGUUGACUGAUAUGUAGUCGUA